RNAcentral lists this ribosomal RNA (465 nucleotides) under uncultured bacterium. Its description in RNAcentral is "partial 16S ribosomal RNA". It matches the Rfam family "Bacterial small subunit ribosomal RNA", at positions 28 to 507 of the family's 1533-position model. The record is from RNAcentral.
GACGAACGCUGGCGGCGUGCUUAACACAUGCAAGUCGAACGAUGAAGCCCAGCUUGCUGGGUGGAUUAGUGGCGAACGGGUGAGUAACACGUGAGUAACCUGCCCUCCACUCUGGGAUAACUCCGGGAAACCGGUGCUAAUACUGGAUAUGACUGCUGCCUGCAUGGGUGGUGGUGGAAAGAUUUAUCGGUGGUGGAUGGACUCGCGGCCUAUCAGCUUGUUGGUGGGGUAAUGGCCUACCAAGGCGACGACGGGUAGCCGGCCUGAGAGGGUGACCGGCCAAACUGGACUGAGACACGGCCCAGACUCCUACGGGAGGCAGCAGUGGGGAAUAUUGCACAAUGGGCGGAAGCCUGAUGCAGCGACGCCGCGUGCGGGAUGACGGCCUUCGGGUUGUAAACCGCUUUCAGCUCUGACGAAGCAUUUGUGACGGUAGGAGCAGAAGAAGCACCGGCUAACUACGUG